GGAAGGCACAGUUGUAACAGCUGUUUUGGUCACCUCCAAACUCUUUCCACAAAUCCAAGCCACACCACCUAUGGUGGCGCCAACAGCUUCCUUAGUGACACUGAAGAUAACCCCAGUCACACGGGACAACAUGCCUGACUGCUGCGGAUGGUCCUUCACGGCACCUUCUGGCGGUUCAUCACUAAGGCCCCCAAAAUCGAUUAUCAGAGAAGAGAAUGCACAGACUUAUGGAAGAAAUGGAAUCUUUUAGAGCGCAGCUGUUUGCACCUGGUUACGUUUAACUGGAACACACAUGAGAUUCUCCAGAGAAUAAUCUUCUGUUUAUCUGGCUGGCUGCCUUCGUAAUAGAAGCAGAACAAGGAAAGACUUUUGAGAGACUCAGAUGGGCUGUGUACACUUUCAUUUUGACAAGUCAAUCACCUCUAUCUUUAAGAAGGGCCUGAUAUCUUGGUGUCCAGAAAUUCAACUUUUUUGAAAAGUAAAGCUGCAAUUUUCUUCUCAGAGUGAUAUACUUGCUGUAAGGAGUGGGGAAAAGAAUCUGGGAGUCUAUUUCCUGUACAUAAAGACUUGAAACAAAUUGUGUUUUCAGGCUUGACCCCAUUUCCUUAGAAGUGUCCUAUAUUCUAAUUCCUUUCUUGAAAUUUAUUGUAAUAUGCUGCUUCUUAUAGUUCUUUCCUGCAUGAGGGUUUCAGUAUUCUCCAACCUGCUUAUUUACUAUCCAGCUUCCAAAAUUUUAUUUAUAUUUCCAUGUGCUAUUGGUUUCUGCCUCAUUCUCAUUGUCAUUGUUGGUUUAUGCAUUUCUUACUGUUUAUUUUCAUUUUAGUAGGGUUUCAGAUGGGGGCAAAGAUAAAUGACUGUGUGUUCAGGUUAUCGUGUUUAAUCACAAAUUUUAUGAAUUUAUUUAACAAUGUUCAGACAUUUAUGUGGGUCACUCUAUAGGUUCAAUAAAUUUAUUCCUAAUA
Heterocephalus glaber (naked mole-rat) is the source of this 962-nucleotide non-coding RNA. The record is from RefSeq and is a predicted model, not a curated record. NCBI's taxonomy places the organism in Eukaryota, Metazoa, Chordata, Mammalia, Rodentia, Bathyergidae.